AUAUGGAGAAUUAUAUUGAACCUGAGUCCAUAAUUGUAUCGGACGCAGCGCCUCAAUACUCGGGAUGAGAGGCACUGGGAUUUUCAAACUAUAAAACAAUAAAUCACAGAACACGUGGCCCUAGAAGGUAAGCACAAGAUACUACUGAUGAGGAGCAGCCCGAAGUAUAAGAGCCGUCAUCUGAGCGAGAUAGUCGGCCAAACGAUAUGAAUCAAAACGGGCAUUACAAAUGAUUAACAUUACUGGUUUAUUUGCAGAUUUGUAAACCCGGAGGGCCUCUAGACACACACACAACAUAUAGAGAGAUUUCUAACAGAUAUGUCAAGGUAAACCGCGUUUAAACGAAGACAUGGAUCGCGCAGAAAUGGUUUUGAGAUGAUAAUUUUUCUCUAUUUACAGGCCGCUAUCAAGUCUUUAUGAACGGAUAAGACUCUGCAGCAGUACAUGUGCAAAUACACAUAGAGGAACAGUUCUGGCCGUUCAUGAAAAAGCAAGAGAGAAAUUCCUGCGCUUUUGCAACGAUGUGGCUACGGUUUAUCCCCAUCCAGGUAGAGGUUUUCAAUUACUGGGAAUCGCUUCAGAUGCACCGUUUACCGGAUGACAUCGCUCCAGAUGGACUGUUUUUUAAACUACAUGUCGUGUCGCUCUCGGAGUCUUUUCUGAUAAUAGACGAGGUAAAAUGUGCAGCAUCGGUCAUGGAUAACCGAAAUCAUGCUUAUUGAUAAACCGUCGGAAAGAC
RNAcentral lists this long non-coding RNA (739 nucleotides) under Androctonus crassicauda. The record is from RNAcentral. Lineage: Eukaryota; Metazoa; Arthropoda; Arachnida; Scorpiones; Buthidae.